GAAAUAGAAAAAAUUAAAUUUCUAAUUUAAUUAAGAAUAUAAUAUAUUCCUAUUUUU
RNAcentral lists this transfer RNA (57 nucleotides) under Brachymeria sp. ZJUH_2016006. Its description in RNAcentral is "tRNA-Ser". Lineage: Eukaryota; Metazoa; Arthropoda; Insecta; Hymenoptera; Chalcididae. The record is from RNAcentral.